This 503-nucleotide ribosomal RNA is filed under the name uncultured bacterium. RNAcentral describes it as "partial 16S ribosomal RNA". It matches the Rfam family "Bacterial small subunit ribosomal RNA", at positions 30 to 523 of the family's 1533-position model. The record is from RNAcentral.
AUUGAACGCUGGCGGCAGGCUUAACACACGCAAGUCGAGCGGGGUGAUGGUGCUUGCACUAUCACUUAGCGGCGGACGGGUGAGUAAUGCUUAGGAAUCUGCCUAUUAGUGGGGGACAACAUCUCGAAAGGGAUGCUAAUACCGCAUACGUCCUACGGGAGAAAGCAGGGGAUCACUUGUGACCUUGCGCUAAUAGAUGAGCCUAAGUCGGAUUAGCUAGUUGGUGGGGUAAAGGCCUACCAAGGCGACGAUCGGUAGCGGGUCUGAGAGGAUGAUCCGCCACACUGGGACUGAGACACGGCCCAGACUCCUACGGGAGGCAGCAGUGGGGAAUAUUGGACAAUGGGGGGAACCCUGAUCCAGCCAUGCCGCGUGUGUGAAGAAGGCCUUAUGGUUGUAAAGCACUUUAAGCGAGGAGGAGGCUCUUUUGGUUAAUACCCAAGAUGAGUGGACGUUACUCGCAGAAUAAGCACCGGCUAACUCUGUGCCAGCCGCCGCGGUAA